CCCUAUACGAUUACUAAGUUAGUUUGCCUCUGCCUCCUUUUUUCCAUUUCUUUCUUGGUGCCGCCGCUGCUCUUUCCUCUCUCUCAAGUUCUCAAGUCUCAACGUUGCAGAGCACUAGUCCUCCAGCCUCCCUUCUCUUCAGUUCAACGCCUCUCUCCACGCUCUUCUCUCUCGUCUCCGGUAGCAAAAGUACAGGACUCCGUCUUCGACAGCAACGCGACGUCGACUUUGGCAACAACAAACAUAUAAUUACAUAUGGAAAUUGAAGAUAAAAAUGUGGAUGAUUUUGUAAACGAAUGGAUUAAAUAUGUAGAGAUUGAAAAAGGGGCUGCUCAAAUCGAACGACCGCAAAAAAGGAAAAGGAAAGGGAAAAAAACAUCAACUAUUUGGGAACAUUUUACUAUUGUUAAGAAAAAAGUAAAAGGUAAAAAAGAUAAAGAAGAAAAAGAAGAGGAUAUAGCAGAGUGCAACUAUUGUGGAGCUGAUAGUAAGUAUUGUGGGACUAGUACAUUGUGGAGUCAUGUUGAUAAAAAGUGCAGGAAGUGUCCAUCUAGUAAUUGGGUAGAGCAGAAUAAGAAACAAACGAUGAUAAUCAAUUUACAAAGAAGACACCUGAUUCUGAAGUUAACUUAAGUGGGACUACCACAAUGAAGUUUAGUCAGAGUAAAGUGAGAGAAUUGAUUAGCAAGUAUUUCAUUAUUGAUGAACUUCCUUUUAGGCAUAUUGAAGGGAAAGGGUUUCGCUUGCUUGUUAAUCAUUUUUUUCCAAAAUUUUACUUUCCUUCAAGAUUUACAAUUGCUCGUGAUAUCUACCAAUUGUUUUUGGAGGAAAAGAAAAAAUUGAGAAAUGAAUUUGUCAAUCGUAGGUUGUCUUUAACUACUGAUUGUUGGACUUCCAUACAGAAUAUUAGUUAUAUGUGCCUGACUGCUCAUUGGAUUGAUGACAAUUGGAAGAUGCAAAAAAUUAUUAUUAGUUUCAUUCAGGUUCCUAGCCAUAAAGGUGACAUGGUUGCAAAAGAAUUGAUCAGUUGCCUCAAUCAUUGGGGGAUUACUCAACUUUUCUCCAUCACUGUUGACACACUACAACAAAAAAGGCCAUUUGCGUCAGUUUAGCACUGCCACAGUUGAGUUUUUGCGUCAGUGUACUAUGUGACGCAAUUGUCCAUGACGCAAACCAGAGUGUCAUUUGCGUCAGUACCCCACUGCCACAAAUGUUAAAAACAAGUAUUUUUUGCGUCAGUUGGGCACUGUCACAUAAAGUAUUAACCAGGGAAGUUGCAAAUGUUUAUGCCAAUUUCUCUGGCCUGUUUUGAUAAAAAUAAUCAGCAGCAGAAACAAAAAAAAACAGCAGCAGAAACAGAAAAACAGUAGUAUGAACAUAAAAACAACAGUAUAAGUUUUUAUAAACAUUUAUCUAGAGUUAACAUUUGUGAUCAAAACUAUAAAAGUAAUUCAAAUAUCAAAGUUAAUAUAUGUACUCUUGUGUUCUAAA
Humulus lupulus (European hop) is the source of this 1491-nucleotide long non-coding RNA. RefSeq lists it as uncharacterized. The transcript has 2 exons. The record is from RefSeq and is a predicted model, not a curated record. NCBI's taxonomy places the organism in Eukaryota, Viridiplantae, Streptophyta, Magnoliopsida, Rosales, Cannabaceae.